Molecule: long non-coding RNA, 609 nt
Organism: Olea europaea var. sylvestris
Lineage: Eukaryota; Viridiplantae; Streptophyta; Magnoliopsida; Lamiales; Oleaceae
Exons: 3
Source: RefSeq, a predicted model, not a curated record
UGUCUCAACCUAUUUAUAGAAUUAAUUCAUACCCCAAUCCCUCCUAAACGUUCGUUCUGAAUACCGAUUGCCUCUCUCUCUCUCUCUCUCUCUCUCUAAAUUAUUCAUUUUUCUCAUCCAUUCGAGCGCCAGGCCUGUAAUCUGAGAAUGGCGUCUAAAGAGAAAGGUCGGCCGUUGCCGAAAUUUGGGGACUGGGAUGUAAACAAUCCUGCCUCUGCUGAUGGAUUUACAGUCAUAUUUGCCAAGGCUAGAGAUGAUAAGAAAGCCACGGGUACUGCUGCAACUGCUGCGCCACCAUCACAGACUGUAUCUCAACCAAACGAUUUUUACGAGUAUUCUGAAAAGAAAAAGUGGCUUUGCUGUCUCUAAAAGGUUUGUGCAUAUGUUGGAACUAUGAAUUGGGAAACAAGGCAUCAGACGGAGACAUAGUUAAGUUGGCUGGUUGAGCCAAGGGAAGUGAAAGUUUGUUGAAUUUUAUUACUUUCUACUAAGGUAUAUGUUACCUAGUUCUACAGAUCUCUCUACUUUCCCCAAAUGUGUUUUGGGGAAAUGAUGAUUAUCAUUUUAAUUAAUGAAUCUAGUAUUGAUUAAGCAAAUUAUCUUGUCCAA